RNAcentral lists this non-coding RNA (31 nucleotides) under Mus musculus (house mouse). Lineage: Eukaryota; Metazoa; Chordata; Mammalia; Rodentia; Muridae. The record is from RNAcentral.
UCAGUUCAGAUGAGCCACACUCCACUCUUUC